UUAUGGCUCAGGAUGAACGGCUGGCGGCGUGCCUAACACAUGCAAGUCGAACGGACGAGGGGAGCUUGCUCCCCAAGUUAGUGGCGGACGGGUGAGUAACACGUGAGCAACCUGCCCUUCGGAGGGGGACAACAGUUGGAAACGGCUGCUAAUACCGCAUGACACAGCGGGGAGGCAUCUCUCUGCUGUCAAAGAUUUAUCGCCGAAGGAUGGGCUCGCGUCUGAUUAGAUAGUUGGUGGGGUAACGGCCUACCAAGUCGACGAUCAGUAGCCGGACUGAGAGGUUGAACGGCCACAUUGGGACUGAGAUACGGCCCAGACUCCUACGGGAGGCAGCAGUGGGGAAUAUUGGGCAAUGGGGGCAACCCUGACCCAGCAACGCCGCGUGAGUGAAGAAGGCUUUCGGGUUGUAAAGCUCUGUUAUAGGGGACGAAGGAAGUGACGGUACCCUAUAAGGAAGCCCCGGCUAACUACGUGCCAGCAGCAGC
This 488-nucleotide ribosomal RNA is filed under the name uncultured bacterium. RNAcentral's name for it is "bacterial SSU rRNA". It matches the Rfam family "Bacterial small subunit ribosomal RNA", at positions 17 to 518 of the family's 1533-position model. The record is from RNAcentral.